UACGGGGGGGGCAAGCGUUGUUCGGAAUUACUGGGCGUAAAGGGCGCGUAGGCGGCCUGCUAAGUCGGAUGUGAAAUCCCUCGGCUCAACCGAGGAACUGCAUCCGAUACUGGCGGGCUUGAAUCCGGGAGAGGGAUGUGGAAUUCCAGGUGUAGCGGUGAAAUGCGUAGAGAUCUGCAAGGAUACCCGUGGCGAAGGCGGCCAGCUGGGCCGGUUCUGACGCUGAGGCGCGAAAGCGUGGGGAGCAAACAGG
This 253-nucleotide ribosomal RNA is filed under the name uncultured bacterium. RNAcentral describes it as "partial 16S ribosomal RNA". It matches the Rfam family "Bacterial small subunit ribosomal RNA", at positions 524 to 776 of the family's 1533-position model. The record is from RNAcentral.